AACGAACGCUGGCGGCAUGCCUUACACAUGCAAGUCGAACGGCAGCACGGGUGCUUGCACCUGGUGGCGAGUGGCGAACGGGUGAGUAAUCCAUCGGAACGUACCUUAUCGUGGGGGAUAACGCAGCGAAAGCUGUGCCAAUACCGCAUACGCCCUGAGGGGGAAAGCGGGGGAUCGCAAGACCUCGCGCGAUUAGAGCGGCCGAUGCCUGAUUAGCUAGUUGGUGGGGUAAAAGCCCACCAAGGCGACGAUCAGCAGCUGGUCUGCGAGGACGAUCAGCCACACUGGGACUGAGACAUGGCCCAGACUCCUACGGGAGGCAGCAGUGGGGAAUUUUGGACAAUGGGGGCAACCCUGAUCCAGCAAUGCCGCGUGAGUGAAGAAGGCCUUCGGGUUGUAAAGCUCUUUUGUCAGGGAAGAAACACCGGCUCUAACACAGUCCGGGAAUGACGGUACCUGAAGAAUAAGCACCGGCUAACUACGUGCCAGCAGCCGCGGUAA
RNAcentral lists this ribosomal RNA (501 nucleotides) under uncultured bacterium. RNAcentral describes it as "partial 16S ribosomal RNA". It matches the Rfam family "Bacterial small subunit ribosomal RNA", at positions 29 to 523 of the family's 1533-position model. The record is from RNAcentral.